AUUCGCAGACAUUGAGAUGCAAACUGUGCAGGUUGGGAAGGAGGAGGCCCUUCGUCUUUUGGUGACCUCUUUUCUUUGUGACUCUGCCCUCACCAGUGUAUUCCUCAGUAGCAUGAAAUAAAGAACUGUAUCCCGGACAGCUCGAUUGCCUAAUAUGAUGAGGCUUUGCAUCUUUUGUUUGUGCCUCUUUUCUAAUCAAUACCUGCAUUGGCAGCCGCAGCAAGAAUAAUGAGAGCUUGGUUAAUAUAAGAUCCAUAUGGGGAUCUAUCUUUGGUUCUUUUCAUCUUCUCUUCUAAAAGCUUGUAUUAAAAUAGGACUUUGUUUGCAUGUGGUAUCUUCUUUAAUUUCAUCGACCAGUUGUAAGUUGUAAGACUGAAUCCCAUUUGUUUGGAGACACAAUGAAUGAGGAUGGAAGAAAACAUUUCUGUCAAGCUUAUAGCUAGCAAUUCAGAGAAGAUUGUUUAUUAUGCACAAGUAGGGGAGGAUUUCGUUUA
Molecule: non-coding RNA, 494 nt
Organism: Prunus avium (sweet cherry)
Lineage: Eukaryota; Viridiplantae; Streptophyta; Magnoliopsida; Rosales; Rosaceae
Source: RefSeq, a predicted model, not a curated record